UACGUAGGGUGCGAGCGUUAAUCGGAAUUACUGGGCGUAAAGCGUGCGCAGGCGGGCUUUUAAGCCAGACGUGAAAUCCCCGGGCUUAACCUGGGAAUGGCGUUUGGGACUGGGAGUCUGGAGUGCGGCAGAGGAGACUGGAAUUCCCGGUGUAGAGGUGAAAUUCGUAGAUAUCGGGAGGAACACCGGUGGCGAAGGCGGCGACCUGGGUAGAUACUGACGCUGAGGCGCGAAAGCGUGGGGAGCAAACAGG
RNAcentral lists this ribosomal RNA (253 nucleotides) under uncultured bacterium. RNAcentral describes it as "partial 16S ribosomal RNA". It matches the Rfam family "Bacterial small subunit ribosomal RNA", at positions 524 to 776 of the family's 1533-position model. The record is from RNAcentral.